Molecule: ribosomal RNA, 458 nt
Filed under: uncultured bacterium
Lineage: Bacteria
Description: partial 16S ribosomal RNA
Rfam family: Bacterial small subunit ribosomal RNA
Source: RNAcentral
CCUACGGGUGGCUGCAGUGAGGAAUAUUGGUCAAUGGGCGAGAGCCUGAACCAGCCAAGUCGCGUGAGGGAGUACUGCCCUAUGGGUUGUAAACCUCUUUUGUCAGGGGGCAAAAGCCGGACGUGUCCGGCUGUGAGAGUACCCUAAGAAAAAGCAUCGGCCAACCCCGUUCCCGGAACCGCGGUAAUACGGAGGAUGCGAGCGUUAGCCCGAUUUUUUGGGUUUAAAGGGGGCGCAGGCGGAUUGUUAAGUCAGCGGUCAAAUCGCGGGGCUCAACCCCAGCGAGCCGUUGAAACUGGGGGUCUUGAGAGGGCGAGAGGUAUGCGGAAUGCGUGGUGUAGCGGUGAAAUGCAUAGAUAUCACGCAGAACCCCGAUUGCGAAGGCAGCAUACCGGUGCACAACUGACGCUCAGGCACGAAAGCGUGGGUAUCGAACAGGAUUAGAUACCCGAGUAGUC